This 253-nucleotide ribosomal RNA is filed under the name uncultured bacterium. RNAcentral describes it as "partial 16S ribosomal RNA". It matches the Rfam family "Bacterial small subunit ribosomal RNA", at positions 524 to 776 of the family's 1533-position model. The record is from RNAcentral.
UACGGAGGGUGCAAGCAUUGAUCGGAAUUACUGGGCGUAAAGGGCUCGUAGGCGGCCAACUAAGUCAGACGUGAAAUCCCUCGGCUUAACCGGGGAACUGCGUCUGAUACUGGAUGGCUUGAGUUUGGGAGAGGGAUGCGGAAUUCCAGGUGUAGCGGUGAAAUGCGUAGAUAUCUGGAGGAACACCGGUGGCGAAGGCGGCAUCCUGGACCAACACUGACGCUGAGGAGCGAAAGCCAGGGGAGCAAACGGG